AAACAAAAUAAUUAGUAGAGUUAACUAAAAAUAAUUAAUAUAAUUAAUUAAGUGAUGUUAACUAAUUGAACUAAUUAAUUAUAAUUAGCCAAGCUACUUAUAUAAAGAAAAAAAAGAAAAACUAAAUAACCAAAGAAAAACUAAAAAUGAAUUUGAAAAUAAAACAAACAAAGAAAAAGCCCAUCAUGGGGGUGUGACAAUAGGAAAGAAAGGGGGGUGCUAGGAGUAGAUUGGGCACUUGGCCCAGUCAUGAAAGGCCCAACCAGAGAGUCAAAUAUUGACUCGGUCUUGGCCAUGUGAUCUAACUACCA
RNAcentral lists this long non-coding RNA (311 nucleotides) under Lathyrus oleraceus (garden pea). Its description in RNAcentral is "Pisum sativum (pea) long non-coding RNA (PSAT_LNC012626)". Lineage: Eukaryota; Viridiplantae; Streptophyta; Magnoliopsida; Fabales; Fabaceae. The record is from RNAcentral.